GACGAACGCUGGCGGCGUGCUUAACACAUGCAAGUCGAACGGAAAGGCCCCUUUGGGGGUACUCGAGUGGCGAACGGGUGAGUAACACGUGAGUAACCUGCCCUUGACUUCGGGAUAACUUCAGGAAACUGGGGCUAAUACCGGAUAGGAAUCCUUGCUGCAUGGUGGGGGUUGGAAAGCUUCGGCGGUUUUGGAUGGACUCGCGGCUUAUCAGCUUGUUGGUGGGGUAGUGGCUUACCAAGGCUUUGACGGGUAGCCGGCCUGAGAGGGCGACCGGCCACAUUGGGACUGAGAUACGGCCCAGACUCCUACGGGAGGCAGCAGUGGGGAAUAUUGCACAAUGGGCGGAAGCCUGAUGCAGCAACGCCGCGUGCGGGAUGACUGCCUUCGGGUUGUAAACCGCUUUCAGCAGGGGCGAAGCUUGUGGUGACGGUACCUGCAGAAGAAGCACCGGCUAACUACGUG
This 465-nucleotide ribosomal RNA is filed under the name uncultured bacterium. Its description in RNAcentral is "partial 16S ribosomal RNA". It matches the Rfam family "Bacterial small subunit ribosomal RNA", at positions 28 to 507 of the family's 1533-position model. The record is from RNAcentral.